RNAcentral lists this long non-coding RNA (8809 nucleotides) under Ananas comosus (pineapple). RNAcentral describes it as "long non-coding RNA (ACOM_LNC029864)". Lineage: Eukaryota; Viridiplantae; Streptophyta; Magnoliopsida; Poales; Bromeliaceae. The record is from RNAcentral.
GUGAUUUGAUUGAUCUCUUCCCCCCUUUCUAUUGUUUAAAUCAAUUUCUUUCCUCAUUAAUAAAUCUUUAGCCAUUUUGAAGUUGUUAUUCGCUUUGAUCUUUAAUCACCAACUUAUUACUUUAACUUCACUGUAGUACUGAUGAUCUUUAUGUAGGAAUCUCGAUUUUCAGAAAAAUAUAGAAAUCUCCGGUUUAUGAAUAAUAUACAGUUGAAUUGUUUGCUACAUAGCUUGAUGAAGAUUGGCUGCAGCUUUUGGGUUUGAUCUGAAUGUUUGAAGAGAAUUGUAAUUGUUUACAGUGCCCUGAUGUUCAAGAGAUUCUGUUUGUGUUUUAAGGUUCAACUUUAGUGUGCGGAAAUUGUGUCAAGAAUCUCUGUCAUGCUAUUAGAAAUGUAAUGAAUUCUAGGAAUAUGUGGUGUCAAGUUACCUCUAAGCUCAAUUUUUAUUAUUUAUUAUUUAUUUUUCUUCGCAAAUCAAAGUUUAUAUUACCUUUUUCCAUCUCUUUACAUGUUAAAUUUCACGUGUCAUAAUCUUCUUGAUUAUGCUUCUGAUUAUGCUUCUGUAGACUUAAACCAUCAGCUUGGGAUCGCAUGAAAAAGAGGUCAAAACAAGCGGAGUCGGUAGAGGAUAUGGGUCGUUCAAUUUCUAGGACAAAAAAGUAUCUAGCAAAUUUACAUGCUUUUCAUGAUGCAUCCAAGUGUUACUUGUUUGGGUUACCAACAUGACAAUUCAAGUUGCGUACCUAGUAUGUGAUCUUGCAAUAAAUGCUGUUCUGUAAGCGAAUUGUGAUCAGUUGUUGCUUGAAUAGUCUUUUGGAGGUAUUUUGACCUUCUUGUGUUAUGUUGAUGUUACUCCUAUUUUCAUGUGCUGCUAUUGAGAAUCUUUAAUUUAGUGAUGAAUGUGCCAUCUAUAAAUGAAUGCCCUAAAUAUUUUUCAAAUUGCUGUUUUGUUGCAGGAUGUUCUUAGGAAGUGUGAGCAACUACUGCAUCAACCAUGUAAGCUGCCCAGUUCUCGUGAUAAGGGGAACAUGAGCUCCUUUUCUACCGUGUUUGCUGUUGUUGUUCUAGCUUUCGAACUAAGAGUGCAUCUACCAUUGACUGCCAUUGAAGUUCUUGUAUAUAGUCCAUGGUUUUCCCUGCAGUUACCUUCAUUUCGCUGUAUAGAAAUUGCUAUAGCUCCUAGAUUUGAGUUGUAUUGCAAAGUUGUAGAGGUUUUGAAGAGAGUUGGGACCGAGAACUAUUUUCUUUUUCACUCUGCAUAGCGUGUUGUCCGUUUGUAUAUCGGCGCAAAGAUUUGAGCUGUUUAAUUGCUUUAUAGCCUAAAGUUUUUGCUGUUUGCUUCAACAAAUAUGUUGUUUUAUAAGAAUUAACGAUUGAAUAGAAACUCGGAUAUGUUAUUAUAAGGGUCUAGAGUUGAUUAUUCGCAACAGUGUCCAUUAGCAGUGGCUAUACAUAUCCUCGGCAUCUUUGUAGAAUUUAUAUUUAUAUUUAUAUAACCUUCUAAUUGGCUAGCGGACGGUGCUCCAUCCGCAUCUGGCGGAAUGUGGGGCCCAUGGUGGUCUCGCAGCCUGUAGUUGUGGGGCCUGCUGCUAUACAUGAGUAGUUUCUCAUUCAUGGCGCCCACGGUUUUGCUAUCAUUCACUGCGGGUCUUUUCACUAAUUAUAUCUCCUUCAGGCCCUUUGGACUGCUGUCUUUUCCGUUUCUUCAGCGUUCUGCACUCUGCUGAUCUGUCGGUACCUCCUCCGUCUUUACAAGGACGAGUGCGGAGGGGGUUUUUCGUUGUAUCUGCCCGUGCCGAGGUCGGGGCGGCUGUACGACAAUCUCUUCUUGGAUUUUCUUCGACGACUUUUGCUGUCUUUUGUUGGUGGAUCUGCUAUGCUCCUCUGCUACGUGCCCUCCUAGAUAGCGUGUUAUUUCUUAAUUUGUCAUCUAAACUGAACUCAACUGAUUUGCUUUUACAUCUCAAUUUGAUCAGCCUAGUAUAAAAAUAAUUUACAUUCUAUGUACUUCAACCGAGAGAGCCAUGUAUUGGGAGAAAACAAAAGAAAUUGUAGAGUACGUAGAGAUUGAGAAUUGCUUUGUGGAAAGCAAAUGCGUCGCGAGGUUUAUGUAGAAAGUUUGGAGCGUAACUAACAAAAGAGAAAUCCGGAGAAACAACCUGUGCCGGUUCUGUAACCGAGCUCAAAGAAUCCGUUCUGUUUGGUAGUUACAUCACAUCGUGGGCAUGUGUCCGGUUGCUCGAUCUCUCAUUAGUAGCCGUUGACUGUGCCGAAUCACUAGACCUUUAAUUAAGGUGUCGAUGAGAUUUAGCUAUAAUAUUAUUUUUAGUGACACUAUUUAAUCUAUCUCUAUCUAUCUAUCUAUCUAUAUAUCUAUAUCUAUAUUCUAUAUAAUAUAUUAUUUGACACUCCUCCGUACCACGUGGCAUUCUCUUUUUAUUUGACUCUUCGCUUUCUGAAAGGCCACUUUUUUUCAAUUUGACUCUUCACUUUUUGAAGAGCCUCUCUUCCUAAACAUCUCUCUCUCCUCUCUCUCUAAUUUUAUCCAAUGCUCUCUCUCCUCUCUCCCAAAGUUUCUCUCUCUAUUCUCUCUCUACCUAUGCCUUCUCUCUUUCCUUCCCUCCCAAAGUUUCUAUUAAAAUCGGAACGACGAAAAAUAGAUUUAGAAAAUAAUUUAAUACAAGAAAAGAAAAGAUAAAGAAAGAACACACCGAUAUUUACGUAGUUCGGCCAACGGCUUACGUCCACGGGCGAAGACGGAGCAAAUACUUUAUUAAUGUCGAAAAGGAGGAGUACAAAAAAAUCUCUCAAAAGACCAAAACUUAAUUAGAUCCGAAACGCCGCAAAAGCAACUCCAAAAGUGAGUUGGCUCCUCAACCCGUACGGACUCCAAAGUGGCGUUAAUUAGAGCCUCCGCUGAUCCAUGCCUCACUAGGGCUGGCAAACGAGCGAGCCGGCUCGCGUUCGACUCGUGUUCGGCUCGAUAUUAGGCUCGCUCGAGCUCGACUUGAAAUUGAAUGAGCCGAGCUUGAACAAAAUAAAAGGCUCGAAAUUCAUUUCAAGCUGAGCUUGAGUAUUACUCGGCUCGUUCGAAUUAGGCUCGAAAAGCUCGAAAAGCUCGAAUAUAUAUAUAUAUAUAUAUAUAUAUAUAUAUAGAUAUAUAUAGUAUAUUAUAUAUAUAUAUAUACAGCUAUGGUGCUUGUUAAAACACCAAACACUUGGUGCUUGUAGUUUUGUACCGUUAGAUCCACUUCUCGGAUCAUUUCAACCAUUAGAUUAUACUAUUCAACCAACCACAACUCAACCCUAAGGGGCCUACAUCAUUCUAACCGCAUAUUUCUUAAUUCAAUGGCGCUAAAAAUUUACAAGCAUCAAUAACUUUAAUACUUUUAAAGUAUAGGAGCUCUUUAAUAUUAGUUUAUAAAUAUAUAUAUAUAUAUAUAUAAUUAUAUAUAUAUAUAUAUAUAUAUAUAUAUAUAUUAAUAUAUAUAUAUAUAUAUAUAUAUAUAUAAUGUAUUUUAAUUAUAUAUAGGCUUUAAUUUAAUUUGGACUAUUAUUGUUGGCCCAUAAAAUAAAUCCAACAAGUACAACCGUGCAAUUGAGUCCAACUCUAAAUUUACAUAAUACACUCUCUCUUUCAGACUUUCAUUGUUACACAUAACCCUAAAAUAUGAUAAUAUUCAAAUUCUCAAAUCCCUAAUUUUUUUCCCCUCUUUCUCUCUCUCUCUUUCUCUCUCUCUCUCGUUCUCCCUCAGACCCUCACCCACUCAGGCAGUCACCCUAACUCACAUUUCUUGUAAUUAUUUUGUAUUUUGAACUAUUGGACAUGUUACAUCAAAUUGUAGGUAAUGUUAUAUAAAAAUUAAACUAUUGAUUAUAUAAUGUCGAGAAUUUCAAUCGGCUCGUUUAGAGCUCGAGCUUGGCUCGACUCGAAAUUAGGCUCGCUUGAGCUCGGCUCGAAUUAAUCUCAAGCCGAGCUUGAGCCUAGAUUUAGGCUCAAAAUUAAUUUCAAGCCGAAUUUGAGCUGACAUAAGCUCGCUCGAGUUCGGCUCGUUUCCACCCCUAUGCCUUACCGUACGGAACAUGAAUGGCUUGGCUUAAUUAAUUAGACUUGGGUCUAAUUAACAUUGUGGGAUCAUUAGAGCUUGCCUCUAAUUAGAACACGAACCACCAACAACUAAAUUAAUUUUUAUGAUUUUUAAUUUGGUCGCAGCUAGAUUAAUUUGACCGUAGCAUGUAUUUAUAAUACAUGUCUCCUAAAUAGAGUUUAAUUCUAAUUCAAUUAGAAAUUAGAUUCCGACUCAUAAUCCAUAUAUGUCAAAUUAAAUCUAAAUUAUAUCCAAUCCCAAAUAGAUUAGGAUUUAUCCUCAAUUUAGAUAACUACAAAUCUAAAUCGAUAACUAUAAAUCUAAACCAAAUAUAACAGUUUCUCUCUCUACUCUCUCUCUAUCUAUCUAUGCCUUCUCUCAUUCCUUCUCUUUCAAGUUUCUCUCUCUAGUCUCUCUCUCUACCUAUGCCUUUCUCUCUUUUCUUUCAUUGGGUGGCUUGGGCGGCAACAGCAGCGGUCACGGCCGCGGCGAUAACUUGGACGACGUCAGCAGCGGUAACCGCGACAACGUGAGCGGCAUUGACGGCAGCGAUGGCGACUUGGGCAGCGUUAGCGGCGGACACGACGACGGCAACAUCAUACAAAAAAAAAAAAAAAUCGCAAUUUUUUUUUUUUNUCUUCUUCUUUUUUUUCUUUACUUCUUGCCUGACAACAUCGAAUGGCAGCUUAGGCGGUGCCAGCGGCGGCUUGGGCGGCGUCGGCAGUACGCACGACAGUGGGAAGCAGCGUCAGCGGUCAUGGUGGCAGUGGCGGCCGCGGGGACAAUGGCGGUCGCUACAACAACAUCAGCAGCGGUCACGACGGCAACAGCCACCGUUUUCCUUUUCUUUUUUUUUUUCUUUUUUUUUGUUUCUCUUCCACUUAUUCUCUGUAACUCGCUCUUCUUCUUUUUCUUCUUUUUUUUUUUAUCUCUUCUUCCUCCUCUUCCUUCUUCUUCUUCUUCCUCUUCUUCUAUUUGAAAGAUAAUUGAAAAUUUAAUGUCACUAUAAUUUUUUUUCCCUAAAAAAACUAUUUUAUAUGAUUUUAUGUCGAAUCAAACACCUCCUUAAAUAUAUUUUUUUAAAAAUUAAUUAUUUUUUCGCAUAUUUUUUUAUUUUUAUUUAAUUAUUUUUUUUAAAUAUUAUAUUUAUAUUAUCUAUCCACAGCGAAGCGCGGAUCCUACACUAGUUAUAUUUUAUAACACAUCACUAUUACUCAGGAGGAGGAUCAAACAAACUCUCAUGUUAUUUUAUUCAUUACCGGUUAUUACAGGAUCGGAUGUGCUGCUCUAAUCACUCCAAACAUGUUCGUCGACUUAAUUUAGUAAUGCACACAACACUCCCAACUUAAACAAAAUUAUACCAUACAAAACAAAAUUUCAAAUUUGAAGAGGGAGACCGACCGUCCCUACGGCAAGUGGCAAAAUAUUUGGUGGUUGAUAUCCAAGGUCCCAAGUUCGAGUACUAAUUGAUUUACAUUUUCAGCUAAAUUUAUUUUUAAAUAAAAUAAACGAAGCGGGUAGCGUGCUAUCUAUCUCUCCAAAAAAAAAAAAAAUUGAAGAAGGAGAGAUUUAAGUAACCGUAUACAACAAGAAGGGAGGAUUCUAAUCGACUCUAACACUUUACUGUGGAGAUAUAUAAUCAAUAACCAUCUCAUUUUCUUUACGGAAAAAGGCUCAUUCAAUACUUGCCGAUCACUGCAUCUGCAUUCAUGGGACAUACAAAAAGCCCAAACCACAAAGCAAAAGAGUAGGCCGCUCUGAUCCAGUCAGUUUCAGCAACAAUCAUAGAUGGUCCCUCAUCUACUGACUUUUAUCUUACACGUCCACUCUGUAACUGACCUCAUUUUAAUUCAGCAAUGUCUGGGUCAACCUUUUCCGUUGACCAACCCUUAAAAAAAAAAAUUCAAAUACCACCCCUAUUAUUUUGCUUUUUUUUUUUUAUUUUAGUACUAUACGGUUUAAAGUGUAUCAAUUUGAUACUCCGUGAUUACAUUUUUUUUUUCUUUUUUUUAUUACCUUCACUAAUUUAUUUUAAUUAAAUUAGUGACAAAAUUAAAACUAAAAUAUAUUAAAGUAAAUAUUCGAUAAAUUUUGGUGGGUAUUCGAAGUUUUUUAUAUAUAAUUUAACGACCCACUUGAAAUUUUUUAUAUAUAAUUUAACGAAAUGUUAACGGAGGAACUUACGAAAAGAAAAAAAUAAAAUUAUAUAAUAUUAAAUUAAUACAGUUUAAAUUAUUAUAGAAUAUUAAAGUAAAAAAGUGCCGAUCUAUAUAAAUGAUAAGUUUACCAAAAAAAAAAAAAAAAAAAAAAAAGGGUUUGCAAUUUGAACGGAGUGAGGCGCUGUUAGUUACAACUGUAACAGCUAUCGCCUGCGAAAAUAGGCGCCAAGAAAGAGCCACGCGCGAAAAGCGGCCGCACUAUAAAUAAGCCCACUCUCUGAGCUCUUCGAGUAGCUUCUCCUCUCUCUCUCUCUCUCUCUCUUUCUCUCUCUCUCUCUCUCUCUCUCUCUCUCCCCACUAGAUUCUCUCCCUCUCUCCCCGCACCUCUUCCAUGGCGACAAGUAACCUAGGGUGCGUGGUGGUGGCCGUCGACAGCAGAGAGGAGAGCAUGAAGGCCCUCCGCUGGGCCCUCGACAACCUCCGCCUCGGCCCAGCCGCCGCCGGAGCCGCCGCCGCCGAUCCCGGGUUCCUGAUCAUCCUCCACGUCCAACACCCUCUGUCCAUCGCCACGAGCCUCAACCCGGGCUCCAUCCCCUCCGGCGGUCCAAGUAACCCUCCCAAACCCUAGCUCCUUCCCCCCCUCCUCUGAAUCGGAAUCGGAUUAUGUUCCUUUCCUUGUGCUUGGCCUCACCCUUCGUCGAGUACUCUUGAUCCGACUCUUGCUAUGGUGUUGGUGCUUGUUGUGGUGCGGUGUGGCUUUAAGGCGAUGUCGAGGCGCAUCAGCAGCGGACCACGGACGCGAUCUUUAAGCGUGCCCUGGAUAUGUGCGCCGAUAGAAACGUGAGAUCGGAUUCUGUUGAUCAUUAUGUGUUUAGAUUCGUUAGCAUUUGUAUUGUGAUUGAACCUUUCUCUUUUGCGGUAAAUUUUAGGUGACUGUGAGAACCGAAGUGAUGAUCGGCGAUCCGAAGGUCAUGAUCUGCAAGGCCACUGUAACCUUGUACGCCGACUUACUGGUGAUCGGGCGUCAUUCGAUCAGACCGAUCAGUUGGUGAUUUGAUUGAUUUCUUUCCCCCUUUCUGUUGUUUAAAACUUGGUCGUGGAAUCGAUUUCUUUCAUCAUUAAUAAAUUUUCAGCCAUUUUAAAGUUGUUAUUCACUUUGAUUUUUAAUCACGAACUUAUGACUUUAACUUCAAUGUAGUACUGAUGAUCUCUAUGUAGGAAUCUCGAUUUUCAGAAAAAUAUAGGAAUCUCCGGUUUAUGAAUAAUAUACAGUUGAAUUGUUUGCUACAUAGCUUGAUGAAGAUUGGCUGCAGCUUUGGGUUUGAUCUGAACGUUUGAAGAGAAUUGUAAUUGUUUACAGUGCCAUGAUGUUCGAUAGAUUCUGUUUCUGUGUUUAAGGUUCAACUUGAGUGUGCAGAAAUUGUGUCAAGAAUCUCUAUCAUGCUAUUAAAAAUGUAACGAAUUCUAGGAAUAUGUGGUGUAAGUUACCUCUAAGCUCAAUUUUUACUAUUUAUCAUUCAUCUUUCUCUGUAAAUCAAAGUUUAUAUUACCUUUUUCCAUCUAUCUACAUGUUAAAUUUCACAUGUCAUGAUCUUCACUAUCAGCCAUCGCACCCAAUGGAUGGCCAAAAUGUUUAUAUAAAUAGCAUGCUUCAAGGACUUAUUUACUAAAAUGUAUAAUUUAACCUGCUAACAACAAUUCAAGCAAAAGUUUGAACCGGCAUUAUCUUGCAGUUAUGUCUCUGUUAUGUGUGUUGAAGUAUGUCAAGUUGUACUGCUCGUCUUUUCUGAAUGAUGCAGAUCACCUUUCUUCUAGCUUCAAAAUGACCGGAAAAUAUUCCAGCCCUUUGGUGAGGGAAUAUCGUAAGAGGUGAUCUUAAUGGUUCAUAGAGACGGACCGCAUAUGUUUUACUACAUUAUGUGCACCAAGAUUAAGUAAUUUUAAGUUUAGCAAGAUUUGGAUUUUAAGGCCUAUAAUACUUGUUGGUCAUCGGUAACAGGUUUCUUUGGCGUCUUUGCUACAUCAGACCGUAAUUAAGAAUUACCAUCAGAUGAGGAUGUGCUUCACAUAUGGAUCUUCUUUCCAAAUGCAAAUUUAAUUUUUUUCUUUUGCCAUCGUGUUAGAGCUGCCCUACCUUUAAUUUUUUUGCCCUCGAUUGAACUUCAAUUUGAUUGCAGCUCAAAUACAGCUUAGAAAAGAACAAUCCUUUUAAGUGAUACAUUUUUUGCACAUUAGUUGGACCAAACCAAAUGGCGAGGACAAACAAUACAACAUGCUGUAGGCGUUCAUUAAAUCUAGUAGCUAUUUAUAUACUGUUUGUAACUACUUUCCUUUGUAGAGAAUUAAUGAUAUUGUAGUCUACUUGGAGAGCCAGGAAUUUGAUAGUGAGUUAUGUCAAGGAGAGAUUUGUAGUAUGAAAUAAUCCUUCAAUAGAAUUCAUUGUGAAUUGGUGUUAGUUCCAGCAGUAGCAUUUAUGAAAGUGAGAAAAUGUUGUCGGGACUUCAAAAUAAGAGUUUAUCUAGGCUUUAUAGUUGCUCCUAGAAUACUGGUGCUUUUGAUUAUG